Molecule: ribosomal RNA, 292 nt
Filed under: uncultured bacterium
Lineage: Bacteria
Description: partial 16S ribosomal RNA
Rfam family: Bacterial small subunit ribosomal RNA
Source: RNAcentral
GUGUCAGCCGCCGCGGUAAAACGUAGGUUCCGAGCGUUAUCCGGAUUUACUGGGCGUAAAGCGCGUGCAGGCGGCCGCGCAAGUCGGGCAUGAAAUCUCUCGGCUCAACCGGGAGAGGCUGUCCGAUACUGCGUGGCUUGAGGACGGAAGAGGCGGGUGGAAUUCCGCAUGUAGUGGUGAAAUGCGUAGAGAUGCGGAGGAACACCAGUGGCGAAAGCGGCCCGCUGGCCCGCUCCUGACGCUCAGACGCGAAAGCUCGGGGAGCGAACGGGAUUAGAAACCCCCGUAGUCC